CCAACAUGGUCCUCCAUUGAGGUUACUCAUGGCUCUGUCCAAGUGGCAUAUGGAGGCAUAGCCCUAAGUGCAGUGAUGCACAAUACCCUUCCAUAGUUGGAAGAGCAAACCUAUCUCUGGCUCUACAACUGAUGAAGUCAGAAUCCUGUAUAUUCCUAAAACUUCUCAUAGUCUUUAGGUGAUUACUGAGGCGAAAAACCAUGCAGGAUGUAAUU
This 215-nucleotide small nucleolar RNA is filed under the name Pelomedusa subrufa. RNAcentral's name for it is "Small nucleolar RNA SNORA73 family". It matches the Rfam family "Small nucleolar RNA SNORA73 family". From Rfam's summary of the family: U17 (SNORA73A and SNORA73B) also known as E1 belongs to the H/ACA class of small nucleolar RNAs (snoRNAs). Vertebrate U17 is intron-encoded and ranges in length from 200-230 nucleotides, longer than most snoRNAs. It is one of the most abundant snoRNAs in human cells and is essential for the cleavage of pre-rRNA within the 5' external transcribed spacer (ETS). Lineage: Eukaryota; Metazoa; Chordata; Testudines; Pelomedusidae. The record is from Rfam by way of RNAcentral.